Aquila chrysaetos chrysaetos is the source of this 998-nucleotide long non-coding RNA. RefSeq lists it as uncharacterized. NCBI's taxonomy places the organism in Eukaryota, Metazoa, Chordata, Aves, Accipitriformes, Accipitridae. The record is from RefSeq and is a predicted model, not a curated record. The transcript has 3 exons.
AUGAAUGUACUGUGCUAUCUACUCAGUAUUCUUCACAGAACAAUCCAGUGUGCCACAGACAGACCAUCAUUCAGUUCUCAGUAAGAAAUUCACAUCUCCUAGCAGGAACAUAAUUUAAACCAAGACUGAUUUCUUCCACAGAUUACUUAAACAUGUAUUUUAAUGCCCUUUUGAGCCUGAAUAUUUAUAACAUAUUACAUUUGAAUUUGCUUUCCUGGAAAAACUUUUGCUUACCGUGUCAGGAUACAUCUUACAGAACUUAUGAUGAAGACUAUGAGGAGAAGGCAACUUCAAUACUUCUGACCUGAUGCAAAAGCCACUGGAGUCAAUAUAGGAAUUCCUCACUGUUUUUGUUUAUGGAAGGGGACAGAGAGAAAAUCUGGAGCUGAAGCCAUGAAAGAACAGGUGAUGGAAACUCUGCAAGACCUCCUUUACGUUCAGGAAACAAGGGUGGCUGCAUAGAUCUCAUGGUAGGACACCACCAUCAGUCUGCACCCCCAUCUUGUGGGAAUAAGAAAUCUGGGCAGAUUCUCGGUUGGUGUAAAUCGGUGUAAUGCUGUUGAAGCCAGUGGAAUAAUACAUAUUUAUCCACAGCAUACACCAAACCAGAAGUCAGCACCAGUGCUAGAGGUGUUGUCCUAUCAGCUAAAAGAAAUCACAAGCCCAAACUGCAUCCAUUGAACGUAAAAGGAAGGACUACGAUCGCACCUAGAGCCGAUGCUGGAAUUACAUCCAGCCAAACUUAUUUUCAACUGGACUGUUCAAGUGCUUAAAGUUAAGCAUACACAUAAGUGUUUGCAGGAUUAAAGCCUCCGUUUGGAAUGACAGAGUAAAUCCAAAUGGAGAUGGAUUAGCUGGCAGGGGGCAGGUGAGGUGGUCAAAGGCACAUGCAGUUUAUCAUAUGGCUCUGUAAUUUACUACAUGAUUAUCACAACUACAUAUUUGGUGUGGGGAUAUAGAUAUACAUGCACACAUGUAUACACGGAGCCAAACUUUUU